GAUGAAGAACGCAGCGAAAUGCGAUACUUGGUGUGAAUUGCAGAAUCCCGUGAACCAUCGAGUCUUUGAACGCAAGUUGCGCCCGAAGCCAUUAGGCCGAGGGCACGCCUGCCUGGGCGUCACACGUCGUUGCCCCCCCAUCUACUCCUUCGGGAUUGCGGGGGGCGGAUGGUGGCCUCCCGUGCGCCUCGUCGCGCGGUUGGCAUAAAUGCCAAGUCCUCGGCGACACACGCCACGACAAUCGGUGGUUGCGAAACCUCGGUUGCCCGUCGUGUGCGGUCGUCGCGCAUCGAGGGCUCGAAAAAAUUGCCGGGCUCCGGCUCGGCUUUCAACGCGACCCCAGGUCAGGCGGGGUUACCCGCUGAAUUUAAGCAUAUCAAUAAGCGGAGGA
Molecule: unclassified non-coding RNA, 391 nt
Filed under: soil metagenome
Description: partial contains 5.8S ribosomal RNA, internal transcribed spacer 2, and large subunit ribosomal RNA
Rfam family: 5.8S ribosomal RNA (bases 1-122)
Source: RNAcentral